UAAGACGUAGGAGGCGAGCGUUAUCCGGAUUUAUUGGGCGUAAAGGGCGUGUAGGUGGCUGGGAAAGCCCCUUGUGAAAUCUCAGGGCUUAACCCUGAGGGGUUAAGGGUGACUUCCCAGCUUGAGGACAGCAGAGGGAGAUGGAGUUCCCGGUGUAGCGGUGAAAUGCGUAGAUACCGGGAGGAACACCAGUGGCGAAGGCGAUCUCCUGGGCUGUUUCUGACGCUGAGGCGCGAAAGCGUGGGGAGCAAACAGGAUUAGAUACCCUGGUAGUCCACGCCGCAACCUAUGGACACUGGGUAUGGGGGGUAUCGACCCUCUCUGUGCCGAAGCUAACGCGUUAAGUGUCCCGCCUGGGGAUUACGGUCGCAAGGCUA
This 377-nucleotide ribosomal RNA is filed under the name uncultured bacterium. Its description in RNAcentral is "bacterial SSU rRNA". It matches the Rfam family "Bacterial small subunit ribosomal RNA", at positions 521 to 896 of the family's 1533-position model. The record is from RNAcentral.